RNAcentral lists this unclassified non-coding RNA (248 nucleotides) under Glomus sp. RNAcentral describes it as "partial contains 5.8S ribosomal RNA and internal transcribed spacer 2". The stretch from base 1 to 71 matches the Rfam family "5.8S ribosomal RNA", at positions 84 to 154 of the family's 154-position model. Lineage: Eukaryota; Fungi; Glomeromycota; Glomeromycetes; Glomerales; Glomeraceae. The record is from RNAcentral.
GUGAAUCAUCAAAUCUUUGAACGCAAAUUGCACUUUCUGGUAUUCCGGAAAGUAUGCCUGUUUGAGGGUCAGUUAAAUAAAAAUCGGUGUUGUUGCUGCUUUUCGUGGUGACGCGUCGGAAUUGUGUUGUCUUACCUUCGGUUAAGUGAUUUAAAAUUUGGCAUGAUUUUCGAACGUAUUUAAAUUUCUUACGUACGUUUGAUUUAUCUAAUUCUUUAUUAAGUCCGAUCAUCUUCAUGAAUGGCACC